Molecule: ribosomal RNA, 351 nt
Filed under: Marinovum algicola
Lineage: Bacteria; Pseudomonadati; Pseudomonadota; Alphaproteobacteria; Rhodobacterales; Roseobacteraceae
Description: bacterial SSU rRNA
Rfam family: Bacterial small subunit ribosomal RNA
Source: RNAcentral
CGUGCCCUUCACUGCGGAAUAGCCACUGGAAACGGUGAGUAAUACCGCAUACGCCCUUCGGGGGAAAGAUUUAUCGGAGAAGGAUCGGCCCGCGUUAGAUUAGAUAGUUGGUGGGGUAACGGCCUACCAAGUCUACGAUCUAUAGCUGGUUUUAGAGGAUGAUCAGCAACACUGGGACUGAGACACGGCCCAGACUCCUACGGGAGGCAGCAGUGGGGAAUCUUGGACAAUGGGCGCAAGCCUGAUCCAGCCAUGCCGCGUGAGUGAUGAAGGCCUUAGGGUCGUAAAGCUCUUUCGCCAGAGAUGAUAAUGACAGUAUCUGGUAAAGAAACCCCGGCUAACUCCGUGCCA